AGUGAACGCUGGCGGUAGGCCUAACACAUGCAAGUCGAACGGCAGCACAGUAAGAGCUUGCUCUUACGGGUGGCGAGUGGCGGACGGGUGAGGAAUACAUCGGAAUCUACUUUUUCGUGGGGGAUAACGUAGGGAAACUUACGCUAAUACCGCAUACGACCUACGGGUGAAAGCAGGGGAUCUUCGGACCUUGCGCGAUUGAAUGAGCCGAUGUCGGAUUAGCUAGUUGGCGGGGUAAAGGCCCACCAAGGCGACGAUCCGUAGCUGGUCUGAGAGGAUGAUCAGCCACACUGGAAGUGAGACACGGUCCAGACUCCUACGCGAGGCAGCAGUGGGGAAUAUUGGACAAGGGGCGCAAGCCUGAUCCAGCCAUACCGCGUGGGUGAAGAAGGCCUUCGGGUUGGAAAGCCCUUUUGUUGGGAAAGAAAAGCAGCAGGUUAAUACCCCGCUGUUCUGACGGUACCCAAAGAAUAAGCACCGGCUAACUUCGUG
This 492-nucleotide ribosomal RNA is filed under the name uncultured bacterium. RNAcentral's name for it is "partial 16S ribosomal RNA". It matches the Rfam family "Bacterial small subunit ribosomal RNA", at positions 29 to 507 of the family's 1533-position model. The record is from RNAcentral.